This 229-nucleotide long non-coding RNA is filed under the name Capsicum annuum. Its description in RNAcentral is "long non-coding RNA (CANN_LNC010131)". The record is from RNAcentral. Lineage: Eukaryota; Viridiplantae; Streptophyta; Magnoliopsida; Solanales; Solanaceae.
AAGGAUGAGUAAGUUUAUAUCAAGGGUAAAUAAUAGCAUGGUUAAUGAGUGCAGAUCCUCCAUACUGAAUAGUGACAUGACCUUAGCCAGACUUAUGACCCAUGCUCAGUAGAUAGAGGAGCAAAAGAUUAAGAUAAGGCAGAAGUAGAAUAAGAGAGCUAAGACGGGUAGUUUCAACUUCGCUUAGCCUAAUUCAGAAGGAGGAAACCAUUCUCAGUAUUAUCCUAAG